GGAUAGAAGAGACUGGCAGACCAAAAAAAAAAAAAAGGAUAGAAGAGACUGGAGCAGUGGAAGGCGAUAGGAGAUAUUAUACUGUUGGAAUCGAGAGAGCGGGAGAUGAAGUUCGUCUGCGUUUCGUUUGGAUCGAUCUUGAAAGCUUGGCUAUCGAAGGGGUGUUGUUUGUCCUCGACCUUGGGAUUCGAGUGAUUGAUUGGAAGAGGUUCAAGGUUGUAUGCAAAAGGGUGCCUGGCUUGUUCUUCUGCUACUGUUCCUGAUUCUGUUCUUUGGUCUUAGUUCGGUGUUCUCUUCUGAUUCAGCGUGAAAAAACAAUGAAAAGAGAUAGAUUGAUGGCCUUGCUAUUACAUACAGAGAAAUAUAUGGAAAUGCGCAAGAUUGAUAAUAGACAGCUACAUUUUGCAGGUUGAUAAGGCGAUAGCUUAUGGAUCUGCGAAGCUUGCAGAUUUUGGAUUGGCAAAGAUAACCACCAAAGUGAAUGUAAUUCAAGUUUUGCAGGGGACUGCAUUCUAGAUGGCCCCUGAGGUUUGCCUUCACACUUAUAAUCUUAAUCCAUUUAAACAGUAAAGUCCCCCUGAUAAAUUUCUACUUAUUUAUAAAAUGGUUGAUUUGAUGGUGUUGUAUACUUUUGUCACAUGUUACUUUCUUUGCUACUGUCAAUGGACAUAUUUGAUACUGCCAUUUUCUAUUUAGGUUUAUUUCCCCCCCCCCCCCCCCCCCCCAAGUUCUUAGCAACUUGAUUUGUGAUGAGCAGGUGAGCUUUAAUUUAACAAUGUAAAAUUGAGUGUUUUCCAUUUAUUGAUCAUUUUAUGACUCAUCGUUUUGCAGUGGCUAGAAACUCAUACUAGAGACUGUGUGGUGCCCGAUGUUAAUGGAAAUAGUCAAGUUGACAACUAUGGCUAUGGAGAUCAACGAUUGCAGCAAGUUGUCGAAUCAAAGUAUAUCAUGGAGAAUCCUUCUGCAGAACUGGUUCAUUUGAAAGUGCAAUAAAUGUUAUACAAGAAUACCUGCCUUCAUCUGUUGAGGAACCUAUUGGAGAUCCCCAGAAGCAGAAAUAUGCUUCUAUAGUAUGUACUGAGUUAGCAUUGAGCUGUGGGGAUUCAGCCUUCAUCAGUUAUUUGAAAUACUGCUCUAUUCUUUUGUAACGGAGUCAAAAGCUCCUAUACUUUAUUGUUACAUUUUUUUUUUUUGAAAGGAUCGUUGCAUAUAUUUGAUA
Long non-coding RNA from Rosa rugosa (rugosa rose), 1219 nucleotides. RefSeq lists it as uncharacterized. NCBI's taxonomy places the organism in Eukaryota, Viridiplantae, Streptophyta, Magnoliopsida, Rosales, Rosaceae. The record is from RefSeq and is a predicted model, not a curated record. The transcript has 6 exons.